Molecule: ribosomal RNA, 409 nt
Filed under: Parasteatoda wau
Lineage: Eukaryota; Metazoa; Arthropoda; Arachnida; Araneae; Theridiidae
Description: partial 16S ribosomal RNA
Source: RNAcentral
AUUUUUAAAUAGCUGCAGAGAUUCUGUGCUAAGGUAGCAUAAUCAUUUGCUUUCUAAUUAAAAGCUAGAAUGAAAGGUUCAACGUUUUAAUAUUUUUAUUAAAUAUAAAAAUUUAAAUUAUAUUAAAUAUAAAAAUAUAUUUAUCUAUUAAAAAGACGACAAGACCCUAUUGAACUUAACUUAAGUUAAGCUGGGGCAGCUUAUUAAUAAUAAUUUUAAUAAAAUUUAUUAAUUAAAUAAUUCAAUACAUUUGAUUAAUUUAUCAAGUUACCAUAGGGAUAACAGCGUAAUAUUAAUUUAAAGUUCUUAUUAAAAUUAAUGUUUGCGACCUCGAUGUUGAAUUAUAAUUCUAUAUUUUAACGCAAUAGUCAUAUAAGUAGGUCUGUUCGACCUUUAAUAUUUUACAUGA